GCCCUUAGAGUUUGAUCCUGGCUCAGAUUGAACGCUAGCGGCAUGCCUUACACAUGCAAGUCGAACGGCAGCGCGGGGGCAACCCUGGCGGCGAGUGGCGAACGGGUGAGUAAUGCAUCGGAACGUGCCCAACGAUGGGGGAUAACUGCGCGAAAGCGUUGCUACUACCGCAUACGACCUACGGGUGAAAGCAGGGGACCGCAAGGCCUUGCGUCGAUGGAGCGGCCGAUGUCGGAUUAGCUAGUUGGUGAGGUAAAGGCUCACCAAGGCGACGAUCCGUAGCUGGUCUGAGAGGACGACCAGCCACACUGGGACUGAGACACGGCCCAGACUCCUGCGGGAGGCAGCAGUGGGGAAUCUUGGACAAUGGGCGCAAGCCUGAUCCAGCAAUGCCGCGUGUGGGAAGAAGGCCUUCGGGUUGUAAACCACUUUUGGCAGGAAAGAAAUCGUCCGUGCUAAUACCAUGGAUGGAUGACGGUACCUGCAGAAUAAGCACCGGCUAACUACGUGCCAGCAGCCGCGGUAAUACGUAGGGUGCGAGCGUUAAUCGGAAUUACUGGGCGUAAAGCGUGCGCAGGCGGUUGGGAAAGAUCGAUGUGAAAUCCCCGGGCUUAACCUGGGAAUGGCAUGGAUGACUAUCCGACUGGAGUACGGUAGAGGGGAGUGGAAUUCCGCGUGUAGCAGUGAAAUGCGUAGAUAUGCGGAGGAACACCGAUGGCGAAGGCAGCUUCCUGGACCUGUACUGACGCUCAUGCACGAAAGCGUGGGGAGCAAACAGGAUUAGAUACCCUGGUAGUCCACGCCCUAAACGAUGUCAACUGGUUGUUGGACGGGCAACUGUUCAGUAACGAAGCUAACGCGUGAAGUUGACCGCCUGGGGAGUACGGCCGCAAGGUUAAAACUCAAAUGAAUUGACGGGGAAGGGC
Molecule: ribosomal RNA, 926 nt
Filed under: uncultured bacterium
Lineage: Bacteria
Description: bacterial SSU rRNA
Rfam family: Bacterial small subunit ribosomal RNA
Source: RNAcentral